UACGUAGGGGGCAAGCGUUGUCCGGAAUCAUUGGGCGUAAAGCGCGUGUAGGCGGCCCGAUAAGUCCGCUGUGAAAGUCCAGGGCUCAACCCUGGGAUGCCGGUGGAUACUGUCGGGCUCGAGUCCGGAAGAGGCGAGUGGAAUUCCUGGUGUAGCGGUGAAAUGCGCAGAUAUCAGGAGGAACACCAAUGGCGAAGGCAGCUCGCUGGGACGUGACUGACGCUGAGACGCGAAAGCGUGAGGAGCAAACAGG
This 253-nucleotide ribosomal RNA is filed under the name uncultured bacterium. RNAcentral's name for it is "partial 16S ribosomal RNA". It matches the Rfam family "Bacterial small subunit ribosomal RNA", at positions 524 to 776 of the family's 1533-position model. The record is from RNAcentral.